UACGGCACUCUCUCUUUUCAACUCUGACCUAAGGAGUAAGUGAAUCCAUAGCAGGUGCUUUAAUAUAUUUUUGCAAGGGUUGAGCCAAAACCUUAAUUUAAUGUGUUUGAAGGUGGACCUAAGAUGCCAACACAACACGCGGAAUUCAUCCUAAAAAAAAAGGCAUUUUUCAUGUAUGUCAUUCUCAAGAGGCAAAGCUUUUCAAAGAACAGAAAGUCCAGAUCUGCUGAUGUACACAUCAAUGAAGGAUUGUGUCUCUACAUCACCCUGAAACAUACACAUCAUCACCUGCUCAUGUGUGCUGAGGCUAUGCGGUACCGAGAUGAAGAGAUGGGUGACUCAUACGCCUUUGCAGCUGCUGAUCACUCCAUUUGUCCAGAUCUAAGUUUCUGUUUUAGGUAAGUAAUAGUAAAACAUACAAUUGAAUGUGAUCACUAUUAUUAAGUGAAAGAUUCUGUGAAAAUUGUGGUAAUGUACGUGAUAUAAUGUACUAAAUCCUGUGUAUAAUUGUAAUUUCAGGCUUUAUUACAAAAUUUUCCAGUGGUCGUACG
Molecule: long non-coding RNA, 551 nt
Filed under: Gadus morhua (Atlantic cod)
Lineage: Eukaryota; Metazoa; Chordata; Actinopteri; Gadiformes; Gadidae
Description: lncRNA (ENSGMOG00000034776.1)
Source: RNAcentral